GUGGGGAAUAUUGGACAAUGGGCGAAAGCCUGAUCCAGCCAUGCCGCGUGUGUGAAGAAGGUCUUCGGAUUGUAAAGCACUUUAAGUUGGGAGGAAGGGCAGUAAGUUAAUACCUUGCUGUUUUGACGUUACCAACAGAAUAAGCACCGGCUAACUUCGUGCCAGCAGCCGCGGUAAUACGAAGGGUGCAAGCGUUAAUCGGAAUUACUGGGCGUAAAGCGCGCGUAGGUGGUUUUGUAAGUUGGAGGUGAAAUCCCCGGGCUCAACCUGGGAACUGCCUCCAAAACUGCAGGACUAGAGUACGGUAGAGGGUAGUGGAAUUUCCUGUGUAGCGGUGAAAUGCGUAGAUAUAGGAAGGAACACCAGUGGCGAAGGCGACUACCUGGACUGAUACUGACACUGAGGUGCGAAAGCGUGGGGAGCAAACAGGAUUAGAAACCCCUGUAGUCC
Molecule: ribosomal RNA, 450 nt
Filed under: uncultured bacterium
Lineage: Bacteria
Description: bacterial SSU rRNA
Rfam family: Bacterial small subunit ribosomal RNA
Source: RNAcentral